RNAcentral lists this ribosomal RNA (786 nucleotides) under uncultured organism. Its description in RNAcentral is "SSU rRNA". It matches the Rfam family "Bacterial small subunit ribosomal RNA", at positions 685 to 1483 of the family's 1533-position model. The record is from RNAcentral.
AAUGCAUAGAUAUCACGCAGAAUUCCGAUGGCGAAGGCAGCUUACUAAGCCAUAACUGACACUGAUGCACGAAAGCGUGGGGAUCAAACAGGAUUAGAUACCCUGGUAGUCCACGCAGUAAACGAUGGUUACUAGGAGUUUGCGAUACAAUGUAAGCUGCACAGCGAAAGCGUUAAGUAAUCCACCUGGGGAGUACGCCGGCAACGGUGAAACUCAAAGGAAUUGACGGGGGCCCGCACAAGCGGAGGAACAUGUGGUUUAAUUCGAUGAUACGCGAGGAACCUUACCCGGGUUUGAACGUAUUCUGACCGAAGUGGAAACACUUUUUCUAGCAAUAGCAGUUUACGAGGUGCUGCAUGGUUGUCGUCAGCUCGUGCCGUGAGGUGUCGGCUUAAGUGCCAUAACGAGCGCAACCCUUAUCACUAGUUACUAACAGGUGAAGCUGAGGACUCUGGUGAGACUGCCAGCGUAAGCUGUGAGGAAGGUGGGGAUGACGUCAAAUCAGCACGGCCCUUACAUCCGGGGCGACACACGUGUUACAAUGGCAUGGACAAAGGGCGGCCACCUGGCGACAGGGAGCUAAUCUCCAAACCAUGUCUCAAUUCGGAUCGGAGUCUGCAACUCGACUCCGUGAAGCUGGAUUCGCUAGUAAUCGCGCAUCAGCCAUGGCGCGGUGAAUACGUUCCCGGGCCUUGUACACACCGCCCGUCAAGCCAUGGGAGCCGGGGGUACCUGAAGUCCGUAACCGAAAGGAUCGGCCUAGGGUAAAACUGGUGACUGGGGCUA